Molecule: transfer RNA, 72 nt
Filed under: Insectozyma corydali
Lineage: Eukaryota; Fungi; Ascomycota; Pichiomycetes; Serinales; Debaryomycetaceae
Description: Candida corydali tRNA-Cys
Rfam family: tRNA
About the family: Transfer RNA (tRNA) molecules are approximately 80 nucleotides in length. Their secondary structure includes four short double-helical elements and three loops (D, anti-codon, and T loops).
Source: RNAcentral
CGCUAUGGAGUCAAGGGUAUUGACCGGUCAGUUGCAACCUGAUUGUAGAGGGUUCAACUCCCUACAUAGUGU